Nicotiana tabacum (common tobacco) is the source of this 1475-nucleotide non-coding RNA. NCBI's taxonomy places the organism in Eukaryota, Viridiplantae, Streptophyta, Magnoliopsida, Solanales, Solanaceae. The record is from RefSeq and is a predicted model, not a curated record.
GGACUAAUCCAGGCAGUACAUGUGUUGUGAGACUUAGUGAAGAAACACUUGAAAAUGGAAGGAAAAUGUUUGUAGCAUUUUUUAUCUGCUUUGAUGCAUUUAAGAAGGCCUACCUUGAUGGUUGUAGAGGUGUAUAAGGUUUGAUGGUUGUUUUUUGAAAGGUGUUUGUAAAGGGCAAUUACUUGUGGCUGUUUAUAAGGAUGGGAAUAAUCAGAUGUUGUCAUUGGCUUGGGCGGUAGUUGAAGUUGAAAACACAUAUAAUUGGAGAUGGUUUGUGAACCUUUUAAAGAAUGAUCUGGAGCUUGGAGAUAGGACAAAGUUGACUGUUAUUACAGAAAUGCAGAAGGGAUUUGACAAAGAAAUCAGUGAGGUCCUCCCACAAGCAGAACAUAGGAUGUGUGCCAGGCACAUCCUAGCAAACUGGUCAAAAAAUAGAGAGGCAUUGAGAAGAGGACCUAUUUUUGGAGAUGUGCUAGGUCAACUUAUAAACAAGAGUUAAAGAAAAAUCUUGAUCACAUGGAGAAACUAGGAGAUAAAAUAAUUGAGGACCUGCUAUACUAUAACAAAGAGAGGUGGUGCAAGGUGUAUUUCAAGUAUUUCAGCAAUUGUGACAGUAUUGACAACAAUUUGGCCGAAACAUUUAGUUCUUGGAUAGUGGGGCCAAGGCACAAGACAUUCAUCACAAUGCUUGAAGUGAUUAGGGCGAAGAUGAUGAUAAGAAUAACACAAAUAAGGGAUUUCUGUGAUACUUGGAUCAGUGACAUUUCUCCAAUGGCACUGAAGGUGUUGCAGGAGAACACAACAAAAUGAAUGAAAUGUGUGGUGCACUGGAAUGGUCAAUAUGGUUAUGAAGUGAAGGAGGGACAAACCAGUAAGCAUAUAGUGAAUCUGAACAUGCUAACCUGCACUUGUAGAGCUUGGAUGCUGAAGGGUAUACCAUUUGCUCAUGUUAUAGCUGCUAUCCAUUUCAAGAAAUUGGAGCCAGUUAACUACAUUUCACAUUGUACCAUAGGGAGACUUAUAUGAAAACAUACAAUCAUUUUCUUUGGCAUGUUCAAAAUAUGGAGAUGUGUCCACAGUCACAAAACCCUUUAGUUAUACUACCAGAAGUAAGAGUAAUGCCUGGCAAGCCCAAGAAAGUGAGAAGGAAGGAACAUACUGAAAACAAAAAAGGGAAAGCUUUCCAAAAGAGGUACACAGCUGACUUGCAAUAACUGUCAUGCCAAAGGCCAUAACAAGAAAGGUUGUCACAAGGCUACACAAGGUAUUGCAAGAUCAACUGGUGGUGCAAAGUCAUCAAGUGUUGGUUCUUCAUCAACACCUUCAUUUCAAAAUGUACCAAAAAUAGGAACAGGAAGAGGAAGAGGAAGAGGAAGACGAAGACCAAGAGGUUUAACAAAACAGGAUAUUGCUACCGGUAUAGGAAGAGGGACACUGUAUAAAAGGCCAAGAAUGAUUGAUAUGAGAAUUCUACA